GUGGAAUGGAGAGGAGAGAAAUCUCUGAUGUCUUCAGUCUGUUUUCUGCUUUGUGUCAUAUUUGUCUUUCCAAUGAAGAAGGAACUUAGAUAAGAGAACUGAGUCUCAAGUGUCUUGUAUCUAUAUAGCUAGAGCUGGUCAGAGCCAGAAUUUGGUUACAGGACACCAAAUGAAGAACCUUCUUGCACAAAAAUGCUUCUCUUUUCUGAGUCUGCCUGAAGUUCACCAAGAUAGGAACUUUGUGGAAAAUGUGUGACCAUGACAACGAAGAACAACAAAUAUUAGAAACAAAAAGAGUAUUGUAAAUGAUAGCUUGUUAUCUCUGGUCAAACACCAUAUGAAUAGGAGGUGACUGGAAAAAACUGGUGGACCUGAAAAUGCCAUAAUAUUUAUAAUCAAUUAAAAAGAUCUUUUUCCCUAUUGAAAAAUGUCAUGCCCUUUCAAAAUGCCAACCCUCUGCUAUCUUAAGGAUGUGCUUUCAUUUGCUUAAGAAAACUCCACAAAGAAUCAUCAGGUCCCAGUAGGUGACCCAUUGGUGUCCUACGGAACCCACACCUGACUAGAAUCUGGAUUCUUCCAAUUCCUUUUCCUGUUGGUUUUCAUCCCCAGUGAAGAUCAGGAUGAUCUUUAUCACCCAAAAUCUA
This is a non-coding RNA of Phascolarctos cinereus (koala), 644 nucleotides long. NCBI's taxonomy places the organism in Eukaryota, Metazoa, Chordata, Mammalia, Diprotodontia, Phascolarctidae. The record is from RefSeq and is a predicted model, not a curated record.